CCCUUGCUUGAUGGUGCUGGAUAUGUCAAUAAACUGAUCGUGGAUUAUCUCCAACUGUGUACUACCUCUCUCGCUCUCAAUGGUGACGCAGAUCUCCUUUUGAUCGAUAUGCCAUUGUUUCGUGCAGCGGGUUGAGGUUUGUCUCUGAGCUUCCCUCUUUUGAUUUUAUUUAUUUUUUCUGUUGGUCCUUUUUUGUUUGGGAAUUAAGAGGACUGCAUGCUCCUUCCUUGAGGUGUGUAGAAUUUGCUAUCUUACAUAGACAUCAUAUUCCAAAACUGAAAUAUGCUGAACAAUGCUCCCAUGACUGAGAACAAAAACGAGGCCUGAAUUUUUAUAUUAUGUGCCUUCCAACUUUUUGCAGGUAUGUAAUGCGCAGUUCAGGGGCAUAAUUAUGAUUGAGCACCAAAAUGAGACCUGAAUCCAACUUCUUACAGAUAUAUUAAGUGGGCCUUUUUAUGCAUAUUCGCUCAGAAAUAUCAACUAUUUGUUCUGAGGGAAGCUAAUAUGAGCUCCAUUACUUCAAUGCAGGUUCGGGUGUGCUUGUGCAGAUAGUCGAUGGGGCUCUUGGCCUUCUAGCUAUAGACUGAUUGACAAGCAUGGUUCAUUGUUAUUUCCUUCCUUAAUAGGUAAUGGCACUACACCUAUCUCAGUUCUCUAUAGACAUCACUCCUAUUUCUAGCCAUCAGUUCUGUGUCUAGCCAUCAGUUUUUGUUUCAGUAGCAAAUAACCAAAAUGAAUGGAUAUUAUUUGCUGUAGUAUUGUAAGGGAAGCAGGUUCUCCAAAUAAAUGUGGAAGAUUGCAGCAUGAAGGGUAUCACUUCACCGGAUUUUUCUACUUCUUGGUGGGCAGCUAAAUUAGUUUCCUUGGUCCGUUUCUCAACUUAUCAUAGAAGAACUCUUUAUCUCUGUAAUUUUCUCUUUAUUAGCGCUGAAGGCAUAGAUCAAGUGCUACAUGGCUAUGCUCUUAGGAGCUUAGAGCAUCAGUGGUUGGCCUCCUUUCUAUUUGUUAUUUUUUCUAGGAUUUGCGUGUGUUAAUCGGAUGAAUAUAUGGAAGGAUACAGAGAGGCCAGAGGUAUAUAUUCUUCUACCAAUAAAAAUCAUUCCAUUCUUUUCUUCACUCGAUUAAAAUAAUUUGGUCGAUCGUAGGAAGUUCCACUAUUUAUGUGUACUGCUCUCAAUAAAACAUAGGCUAGAAAAGUUCCCUUCAGUAUGCAUUCUCAUGUUAUUAAAACAUUUUUGUGGUGCAGUCUGUUAGGCAAACUCUGUUUUCCAGUCAACAGUUUUUACCUGCUUUUCAAUGCAUGUAAUACUGCUGACUUCUCUUCAAGUCCUAGCUGGUUUGUGUGCAUUUUAUGGUUCAGUGUAUCAUUGCAAGAGUUUAUGGUUCAGUGUAUCACUGCAUGUUCCUAACACCGACAAAUUUUAAUGUUUUUUGUAUUUUUUUCGAUGCAAGCCUAUUCUUCGACUAUAAGACAAUAGAGAUUUCCUAUUAAGUCUAAUCUUUUUUGGGUGCAUUACAGAGUUUGCUAUCAAAUUCUAAAGCAGCAAGAAGAUAGCCAGCCUAAAUGAAUCAAGACAUGAACAAGUGUCGAGAAGUUACGGAUGCAGAAGUGCAACUGGUAUCGCCUCUAUUUUUUUUGUCUCAAAUCAACCGCAGAAAAAACUACUGGAUAAUCAUCUUGCCACUUUAUAAUUGGCUUACUGCUAUGAUCCUGGUGUUAUUUGCUAUGAGAAAAACGAGAGGUUCAAUGUGCGCCUCAUAUCAUCACAUCAAAUGGAAUAAUUGGAUAGGCUUAUGUAUCAUCAUAUCUGCACACAUAAUCUCUUUUAUGAUUGUUUACCUCUUCAGUCUACUAUUCUUAGAUGAUGAACUUCUGCUCUUUUAUGCCAAGUAGUUAAAUUUGUGUGCAUGUUCUCAUGGAUCAUACUUAGAUUUUGCAACUGUGGCCCAUAGGGCCAUGCUAAUUAGUCCUGGCCAUGAUCAGGAGUAAAUUUAUACAAAUUUUAAUUUGCAUGGUAUUUUGUCCAGCACCAAAGGCACCAAUGGUGCUAUUGUUAUGCUUAUUUUUCACUUGAUAAGAAAAUAUACGUACAAAAUCUGCUUGAAGUUGUAACUGUAACUGUACGUCUGCAUUGGAUAAUUUCUUGGACUCGUGUACAGUAGCUUGCAGGAUCUUUUCAGAAGCAGCCCAUAGGAAGUAUAAUCAGGCAUCUUCAGCUGCAAAAGUUUCAUUCAGCAGGCUUUUCCAUGUUGCUAUAUCUGGAUGGUCCGAGUUUCAAAAGAUUUUCUUAGAGACGUUAGGUAAAUUUGGCUAUAAUGGCCCUCCACAUAGUAGGAAUGAUCCUGCAAAAUUCCUAUGUAUGCUUGCCUAUGUCUCAGUUUCAGUUGAAUUUAUACAUACCGUCUAGCUCAUUUUGGUGCCUCUUUUUUGGAAUUCCUAGCAUUUUCUGACCUAUGUGGGUUUUCUCUUAUAAUCUGAGGAGUCCUUAAAAUUGUCGAUAAUAUUAUAAAAUACUAAUUGAUAAUAGAAGAGUUCAAGGGUUUACCACGUUCUGCAAUUAUCUUUCAUUAGGAACCAAGACGGCAAUCCUCCAAACUUUUCAGCAAUUUCCUAUGUUUUUUCGCAUGUAGGCAUAAUAAAAAGUUUAUAGAAACACUAUUU
RNAcentral lists this long non-coding RNA (2662 nucleotides) under Triticum aestivum (bread wheat). Its description in RNAcentral is "long non-coding RNA (TAES_LNC022663)". Lineage: Eukaryota; Viridiplantae; Streptophyta; Magnoliopsida; Poales; Poaceae. The record is from RNAcentral.